UACAGAGGUGGCAAGCGUUGUUCGGAAUUACUGGGCGUAAAGGGCGCGUAGGCGGCCAUCUAAGUCAGACGUGAAAUCCCCCGGCUUAACCUGGGAACUGCGUCUGAUACUGGACGGCUUGAGUAUGGGAGAGGGAUGUAGAAUUCCAGGUGUAGCGGUGAAAUGCGUAGAUAUCUGGAGGAAUACCGGUGGCGAAGGCGGCAUCCUGGGCCAUUACUGACGCUGAGGCGCGAAAGCUAGGGGAGCAAACGGG
Molecule: ribosomal RNA, 253 nt
Filed under: uncultured bacterium
Lineage: Bacteria
Description: partial 16S ribosomal RNA
Rfam family: Bacterial small subunit ribosomal RNA
Source: RNAcentral